Molecule: long non-coding RNA, 4377 nt
Organism: Ananas comosus (pineapple)
Lineage: Eukaryota; Viridiplantae; Streptophyta; Magnoliopsida; Poales; Bromeliaceae
Exons: 2
Source: RefSeq, a predicted model, not a curated record
UCUUUUUGUUCAAACGAUAAAUGAAUAUUGCUAAGCUUAUCUCAAGAAGUAUCUUUAGAUAUGGAUGACAUAAUCAGUUAAUUCGCUAGUGACUUUUGUCUUAACUUUUUAAAUCUAAGUUUUAUUCAACCACGGCGGUCGCUUACCUUAUCCAUAUAAUUGAGGGAAACCUACCAGGGCAUGCAUGUUGGAAAAUCUUUCUGAUCUCUUAUUUAAUAUUCUUUAAUAAUAAUUAAAGAAUAAAUACCGUAAAGAAAAAGAUUAUAAAAGGCAUUUGGAUCGAGGCGUGCAGACCACUGUUGUAAAAGCGAAAUUGGCCCUCUACGUGCAAGACUUUUCGACAAUUACUUAUAGUGAUACAACGUCCACGUUCCACCUCGUCGGCACGCUUCCAAGGUGACACAAGAUGAACCCAACAAGCUUUGGGAGAACCAGUGAAAAUAGUAGAAAACUCGACGAAAACCAGUGUAAAAUAUUAAUAGCGGGAAGAAGCAUAAGUAGUGAUUAGGGUAAGCUCUCAUUCUCUAUUCAACUCAUCCACCCUCCUCCAAUAAAUAUAUACAAGGCAAAAUCUUACUCCUACUCAUUAAUUCCGUGUAGCAUAAGAUAAGCCUACGAGAUACGGAUACGAAUACGGAUUAGGAUUAGAGCUUACAAAAAAUAAAUAAACUCGGUGCCUGGACCGCACGCGUCGCCCGCCCGCCCCGGCUCGUGCUCGCAUGUGUUUAGCCGAGAGCUCUACUCUGAUGUUCUCUCAAACAACUAGCUUGAGAAUAAGGGAGUAUAUAAAGAGCCACACCAUGCCUUUGGUUUUCAAUGUAGUAUUAAACUUCUCAUGUGGAAACCCAAGCACGGACUCCCAAGCAAGGCUUAUAGAGAGUUGGGCUGCCAGGAACCCCAUGGGCAAAUUAGAAGUUUUAAAUCACUUUUAAUACCAACAAUGCAAGCUUUAAAAUGUUACUUAUUCUCAACUAAUCAUAUAUUAGACGCUACUUGGUCGAUACAAAUGCAUUGUCAUCGAACACAAAUAGUAAGAAAGCAAAGGAUAAAUACUCUAAUCAACACUUCUGCAAUAGUACCGAUUGUCCCUAGAGCAAGUGGCAAAGAGUUUGGUGGUUGGUAUCCGAGACCUAAGUUCGAAUCCUAGUUGAUUCACAUUUCUAACUAAAUUUAUUUCUAAAUAAAAUAAACGAAGCAGUUAGCGUGCUACCUAUCUCUCUCAAAAAAAGAAAAAACACGUCCGCAAUACUGCUGUACGUAAAAGACAGCAAAGUCAAGUUACAAAAUUAUGCAAACGACUUAGAAAUCACCAUGUAUAUAUACUUUUUCACCACAAACCGGAUUACAAGACACUAACUAAACGUGCCCUUGGCCUAAGAUGGCACAAGGAAGAGCAUCCCCGUCCCCGCCAUGAUCAUAAAUAUUUGCAGCAGCAAACUAACAUAGUAAAAAACUUCAAGGAUCGAAAGCCAUGCUUCGUCGUGCUGCUGUUCGCCAUCCUGCGGUUCAAACAUGAGGCCUAUCCAGAUCAGGCCGGAUACGAUGGCCAAGAGCUGGAAGAAUGCCCAGACUCUUAUCCCUGUACUCAUGUAAUAAUGCUCUGGUACGUCCCCCACACUCGCCACGCAUAUGGUUGCGAGUAGGGCAACAUUGAUUGAGAUGAGAAUUGCAAAGCCGUCCCUUAUCACACCCGCAGAGCGUGGGUCAUGGUAUAAGGGUCGAGGGCUAGUUGGAUCUAUCAGGCCGAUACCGAUACGGUCCUGGGUGAAGUAUACGCAGAUAGGGGCGAGCACCAGCAAGAACACGCCCGCGACCAAAAUUCCCAAGAACUGCAUGGCCAGCGCAGCGGCUGAUAGCCCGAGGAGAACCAAAAUAGCAGCGCUGCUGUAUCUCACAAAGCUUAAAAUGAUCCCUCUCCAAAAGGAGUAAUGAACAGUUAAGGGGAUGGAGGUGGCCAGCAUAGUGAAGAUGCCAACCAUGGAGAUCAGGAAGAAGAGACUUAGCGCCGAUUGGAAACUUUGCAAUGCUCGGAGCGGAGGGCUGUUGAAGGAAGCAUAAAUCAUACCCGUUUGUACGGUGAUGGCCAUAGUUGCAAUAGUAGUAGCGAACUUGAAGGCCUUCUCUCGCUCCGGUUUGUAGCUGUUGAAGAUGUGCAACAUAUAUGCAUGUUAAUUGAAAACCCCACCAUUAACUAUAACUUAGCUAGAGGCUGCCAUGCAUCACCCCUCAAAAAUGACCUAAAUAUAAGUUUAAUUAGCCGAUUCCGUUAUUUAUUUAGUAAGGUUACCGAUGAAAAAAUGACAUAAAUGUUAGAUCGAGUAUUCUUUAAACUCACGUAUGUAAUUCAAAUUAAAGAGCAAAUUACAGCUUAGCUUCAACUUUUCGAAGCACAACUUAUUUGCAGUAUUGAUACUUUUUUGACAAAUAGAAUUAAAGGAACAUUUUAGCGCCAAGUUUUUUUUUGUCAAAAAUCAUUAAAUUUAGUACCCAAGUCUUCUUUCUCUCAAUAAACCUAACAUCCAAUAACAGUGUGAGCAAAUUUGGUACAUUUACGAGAAGUACGUGAGAUACUAAUUGAGUUCACCUUAUAAGAAUAAGAGUAGAAGUAAAACUUUUAUCCGAAAAAAAAGUUCUAGGCUAGCAAUACUAUCUUUUUUUGGAGGAAAAAAAUAUAAGAUAUAUAUACUAUCUUUUCUCGGCUAACAAUACUAUGGAAACUUAUAAAUUAAAACAUAGGAUAUACCUUUCAUGGUCGGCACUGUCGUGGUCGUUAACAUUUUGUGUAGCCGUAUAUCCAAGGAAGCCGAUGAUAGAGAUCACAGGAAUUACAAUAAGACUCAUCCCUGCACAGUCUUUGUUCUGGAGUACUAAGGAGAAAAAGCUUGUCACAAUUAAAAGUACACAAGAUAUGGUCAUGGCGCUUAUCAGGUAUAUCUUCCGGUUUCGGUCGAUUGGAUUAUAACGCAUUGUGUAGAACAACAACAAGAUGGGGGAUUGAAUAGUAAGCCAGAUGAGGAAAUUGUAGGCUUUGAUAACUGUGGAGGAAUGCAUGGCUCUUAUAUCUUUGUCUCCCUUUGAAAAUGUGAAGGGUAUCGCAGAAGCCAUGACUAUUAUCGCAAGCAAGAACAAUAUGAUUUGCUUCAACUGGUCCCUAACCACUUCGGUUUGCUGUUCAUUUUCUCCACCAUUUCUUCCUCCCUGUUGGUUUAUCUGCAGCUAGAUUAAACAAGUAAGUGUUACAUAUAUAUAUAUAUAUAUAUAUAUAUAUAUAUUAUCGCAAGCAAGAACAAUAUGAUUUGCUUCAACUGGUCCCUAACCACUUCAGUUUGCUGUUCAUUUUCUCCACCAUUUCUUCCUCCCUGUUGGUUUAUCUGCAGCUAGAUUAAACAAGUAAGUGUUACAUAUAUAUAUAUAUAUAUAUAUAUAUAUAUAUAUAUGCAUGAAUUGGUAUGCAAAUUAUGGGCCACAGGAAAUUAGCAAACAUAUUUAGAAGAUAGAGAAGAAAGAGAGCUUCAUUAUAUAUAGAUUAGGCAUCAUGAGAUAAUUCAUUAACCAAAACUUUCACUUUUGGCAAGCUCAAAAGGUUUAUCACGAAAUGAAGAGCACAAUUCGAGAGAUAUAAAACUUAUAGAUGCAUCACAGGCUUAUAAUUUUGACUAUAAGACGCAAAAGUUCAGCACCACCCGCACCCCCCCAAACGUUCAGCACCAUCCACACAUCCCCCACCCCCCCAACAAAAGUUCAGCACCACCACAACCCCCGCCCCCCAACCCACCCAAAAGUUCAGCACCGGCCACCACCACCCAACCCAAAAAAAAAAAAACCCUAUGAUGAAAUGAAACUGCAGGUGCAGCAGCAGAAGAACAAGACCAUCUAGCUCUCUCUCAAAAAAAAGCGAAGAACAAGACCUGAGUAGUAAUUGAAUGAAAUUCGUCCGGCAUUUGGUGAAAUGAAGGGAGGCCUUCUGAUUAUCUGUGAAUACGCAAACUAAAGGUAGCUGGACAAGAAUGCUUGUUAUAGAAAGAGGUUUUGGGCAGCCAAAUUCCCACAGGCAUUUUUGCAAACUGUCCAAGGAGGAAAUUUGGUGUCAUUCAUAGAUUCCACCAGAUCAUUCCUGAUGGACUGCUUCCUGACAACUAGAGUAUUUAACAGAACAGAAGAAAAAAAAGGUGAACAACAAAUAUUCUCCAACAUAUUGGGGAAAGCAUGAGAUAUGUAUUUCCAAGGUUCUCUGAUAGGACAAUACCUACGAGAACCACCCCUAGUUACAUUUACACAAUUCUCACCAUCUUUCCUCUUUUGUCCAAAUUUAAUAAAGCAUAACCGGAAGCAAAGGUAGUUCUUUGAUUCGUACAAAUCAAGAAUACUUACUUGGUA